RNAcentral lists this ribosomal RNA (484 nucleotides) under uncultured bacterium. Its description in RNAcentral is "partial 16S ribosomal RNA". It matches the Rfam family "Bacterial small subunit ribosomal RNA", at positions 30 to 507 of the family's 1533-position model. The record is from RNAcentral.
AUUGAACGCUGGCGGCAGGCCUAACACAUGCAAGUCGAGCGGAUGAAGGGAGCUUGCUCCUGGAUUCAGCGGCGGACGGGUGAGUAAUGCCUAGGAAUCUGCCUGGUAGUGGGGGAUAACGUCCGGAAACGGGCGCUAAUACCGCAUACGUCCUGAGGGAGAAAGUGGGGGAUCUUCGGACCUCACGCUACCAGAUGAGCCUAGGUCGGAUUAGCUAGUUGGUGGGGUAAAGGCCUACCAAGGCGACGAUCCGUAGCUGGUCUGAGAGGAUGAUCAGUCACACUGGAACUGAGACACGGUCCAGACUCCUACGGGAGGCAGCAGUGGGGAAUAUUGGACGAUGGGCGAAAGCCUGAUCCAGCCAUGCCGCGUGUGUGAAGAAGGUCUUCGGAUUGUAAAGCACUUUAAGUUGGGAGGAAGGGCAGUAAGUUAAUACCUUGCUGUUUUGACGUUACCAACAGAAUAAGCACCGGCUAACUUCGUG